RNAcentral lists this unclassified non-coding RNA (240 nucleotides) under soil metagenome. RNAcentral describes it as "partial contains 5.8S ribosomal RNA, internal transcribed spacer 2, and large subunit ribosomal RNA". The record is from RNAcentral.
AACAAGGCGUACCUGCGGACCUGCGGAAGGAUCAUUACAAAACGAGUGCUUCGGCUCUCCAACCCAUUGUGAACAUACCUAUCGUUCCCUCGGCGGGCUCAGCGCGCGGUCGGCCUCCGGGCCUCCGGGCGUCCGCCGGGGACAACCAAACCCGAAUUUUUCGUGUAUAUCUGAGGGGCGAAAGCCCGAAAACAAAAUAAAUCAAAACUUUUAACAACGGAUCUCAGAUCGGAAGAGCAC